Long non-coding RNA from Beta vulgaris subsp. vulgaris (sugar beet), 728 nucleotides. RefSeq lists it as uncharacterized. The record is from RefSeq and is a predicted model, not a curated record. Lineage: Eukaryota; Viridiplantae; Streptophyta; Magnoliopsida; Caryophyllales; Amaranthaceae. The transcript has 3 exons.
CAUUUUUUGAGGGAAAAAAAUAACUAGUUAAAAAUUGCACAGUUAUCUUUGCUCCUAUAUCACAUCACCUGCUAUUAUAGAAAAGCUAACCCUGCCCACACCUCCAUCUACCUUGCUACUUAGAUACUAACUUCUUUUGAUUCACUAGUUUACCAGUUUACCUCUAUUCUCUCGUCUUCUCUAAUGAUCUAUGUAUAGUCUGUACAAUUAUGACUUCCUUUUUGCAUAUGAACUUUCCUCACUAAUUUACCACUUAGUUACAUAUUGUGUAGUUUGUACAAUUCUCCAGUUUACCUCAUCGCUUAUACAUAUACUUUUUGCAUAUAUCUAUUACCAUUAAUGGCUAAGGAUGACAUCACUUUCGAAUUUGCAAAUUUCUUGCGAGGAGAAGGUAGAGUAUGAGAGCAACUAUCUGGAAAUGUUAGAAAGAUUCUAUUUGGCGGAGAUGAAGAUGAUGCUUGGCCAAAGAAGUUGAAUACCAUAAAAUUUGCUUCAGUAAAUGAUUUAUGAAAUCGAUGAUCUUAAAAUGGCUGCUAGAAGAUCAAUGAGCCAUUUGAAGAUAAAGGAACUUGCUGUAUUUUAUUAUCAUGCUUUGUUCAUUUUCUUGUAUUUAAAAUUUUUUGCAAGAUAUAAUUAGAACCGAAUUUGAUUUGUACAAAUCGUUGCAAUACUUUUGAUAUUGAUUUGCAUAAUUAAAGUCCAUUUAUUUAGCAGCUUUAAUAGGGGAU